RNAcentral lists this ribosomal RNA (458 nucleotides) under uncultured Anaplasma sp. RNAcentral's name for it is "bacterial SSU rRNA". It matches the Rfam family "Bacterial small subunit ribosomal RNA", at positions 85 to 578 of the family's 1533-position model. Lineage: Bacteria; Pseudomonadati; Pseudomonadota; Alphaproteobacteria; Rickettsiales; Anaplasmataceae. The record is from RNAcentral.
GAAAUGGUUAGUGGCAGACGGGUGAGUAAUGCAUAGGAAUCUGCCUAGUAGUAUGGGAUAGCCACUAGAAAUGGUGGGUAAUACUGUAUACGCCCUGCGGGGGAAAGAUUUAUCGCUACUAGAUGAGCCUAUGUUAGAUUAGCUAGUUGGUAGGGUAAAGGCCUACCAAGGCAGUGAUCUAUAGCUGGUCUGAGAGGAUGAUCAGCCACACUGGAACUGAGAUACGGUCCAGACUCCUACGGGAGGCAGCAGUGGGGAAUAUUGGACAAUGGGCGCAAGCCUGAUCCAGCUAUGCCGCGUGAGUGAGGAAGGCCUUAGGGUUGUAAAACUCUUUCAGUGGGGAAGAUAAUGACGGUACCCACAGAAGAAGUCCCGGCAAACUCCGUGCCAGCAGCCGCGGUAAUACGGAGGGGGCAAGCGUUGUUCGGAAUUAUUGGGCGUAAAGGGCAUGUAGGCGG